Molecule: non-coding RNA, 3530 nt
Organism: Sus scrofa (pig)
Lineage: Eukaryota; Metazoa; Chordata; Mammalia; Artiodactyla; Suidae
Source: RefSeq, a predicted model, not a curated record
GAGAGCUCCUCCCUGUGUCUCGGCUGCUCCACCUCCCUUCGCUUCCACUGGAAACAAGAAAAUUGCCAAGUAAUUGCUCUUUGACAACCCCUGCUGGUCUCGCCUUUCUUUCUUGCUGAGAUUAUAAUUAGAGAAUCAGUAAAUUUAAAUAGAAAAUCCAUGAGCAGCACAGAGCCUUCACCUUUCAAACGCUGUUUCGUGUACCCUGUGAGUGGCACUUGCACCCUGUGCAGGCAGCGCUGGCAGGGCGAGGCCAGAGUCAGGUGGGGACAGGAAGCUGGGCGCAGAGCCCCCGCAAAGGUGCAGGAGCAGCAGCAGCAGCGUGGGUGGUAGGUGAGCACUUGCUGUGCCCCAGAGGCUGGGCUGUGUGUUUUCUAAGCCUGGUCUUAUUACAUCCACUCUUGGUAAUGGCACCUGUCUUAUUCCCAUUUUACAGAUGAGGAAACUAAGGCUCAGAGAGACAGUGACUUGCUCAAGGUCACACAGCUAGGAUGGGACAAGACCGGAAUUGAAGCCCCACAUGUGUGCACUCUCAGCCUCUGUGUUUUAUCCUGAAGUGUGACUGCUUUCCACUGGGCUGGGGGCCUAAAGACCAGAUCCAGGGUCCAUGGGUCCAAACAGGGCUGGAAGAGAGGAAGAGAACUCUGUGUGUCCUGGGAGCUUGGCUUCUUGCUGCACUGAGAACAGCGCUCCCUACCCUGGUCCCUGAAAUGGCCUGUCUGGGCCCAAGGACCCGUGACACCACCUCCAUGUCUGUCUUCGUGAUGAGGAAUCAGAGGCCUCAGAGAAAGAAAAAUGACUUUUCCCAGGAUGCCUGUGCCAGCUACUGACCCAUGCAAUCAGGACUGGGUGCUUUCUGAUGCCAUCCCAGAGCAGGGAUGGGCUCGUCCAGACAGAAAGCCAAAUCAUAGGUGGGUGGGGAGGGAAAGGAAGCUUGUUUCUUGGUUGCCAGUGAUGUGUUGGCUGCUAAAGGGAAGGGCUCAGGGGCCACAUCUUAGCAGCUUUGUCUUUCUCAGCCAUAUGUAAAAAGUGAGAAUGUCUGGAGUUCCCUUGUGGGUUAAGAACCGGGCGUUGUCCCUGUGGCAACACGAGUGGCUGCUGUGGGGUGUGGGUUUGAUCCCUGGCUCAGGAACUUCCGCAUGCCACAGACCCAGCCAAAAAUAAGAGUGAGGCUGUUUGUGGUCCUUCGCUCAUGCGUUCAGUGCGUGCCAGUUACAAGAAGAAACCAUCACUUGUUUCCUUGUCGAAUAAUGUACUAAUAUGAUUCAUAAUAUUAUAACAGCACUGUGGGGUAGGAAUACUUCGACUUUCCAGAUGAGAGAACCAAGGCUCACAGAGGUUAGGGAACGAGGCUCAGCCACGGAGCUGGUCAGUGGCAGAUCCUGGGUUCCAGCUGGGGGUUGCAUGGUCCAGGGCUUGCUUCUGUGUCUAACACUUCAGCUCCAGCUGGCAGGGUGGCGUCAGGAGGACAGGGAUAUUGAGCAGAUAGGGGACAUGAGGCACUCCACACAGGUCAGCCUUUGACCUGGGCCUCCAGGGUGAGUGAGUUUCGGUGCCCGGACUACCAUAGUUUUCAACCACAGAAAAAUCCAGAAGGUAUAAGUUGCCCUGUAGGCCAGGGGCAAGGGCUCUGGGACCUUGCUGCUUAGCUGGUCCUAGUUCUUAUGGAACUUUCCCAGAUCACUAGUCACUUGCUGUGGGGGUGCUUUCCUUAGUAGUAGAGAAGGACAAAUUCCUCUUAAAUAACUUUUCCUUCUUUUCAAAUCUUAUUUGUGACUUUUAAAAAUAUUCAAGAACUGGCACACUUUUUUUUUUUUUCUUUUUUGGCUGCACCCAGGGCAUAUGGAAGUUCCUGGGGCCAGGGAUGGAGUCCGAGGCUCAGCUGCGGCAAUGCCAGACCCUUAACCCACUGCACCACAGCGGGAACUCCAAGAAUUGUCACACUGUUUCUUUCUCUUGACCCUUUUGAGUUUUGGUCUUUUCCCUCUCUCAUCUCUGUCUCUCUGGCUGUCUCGGUGUCGUGCUUCUGUCUCUCUCUCUUGGCUUGAGAACACUGAGUACGUGGAUCCUGACAUCGGGGGAAACGUAGCCCUCCUGCUGUCCCACACCGCCUUCCCCAAGCCCCUCUACUCAGGGCUCAGUGGCCACCUGGGCCCAGCGCCAGCUGAGCACAGUGGCGAGGGCAUCAUUUUAAGGAUUGCUGUCAUUUUCCCCAGCCUCAGAAACUCUUAGCUAAGCCUCCCACCUCACGUUCCUAAAUGUAAAUAAACACAUGCCCAGCUGGGAAAAGCAAGAUCGUACACUGGCUGUGUUUCUGCAGAGCAGUGCUUCUUAACCCACUGUUCAGCUUCCUGCCUGGAGUGGGCAGAGAGGAGAGAAGAGAGAGGACCAGGAGAGUGGGAGGAAAAAGAGAACAAGCAGAAGGCAGGGGAGAACGAGAGAAGGGGGACCGAGGGGGAGGAGAGGCUGAGGGAAGCCCCCACGAGAGCCACUCCCACCUCUUUGAUACCCCAGGUAGAGUAAUGAGGUUUCCCAUUUUGCUGACAAAUAAACUGAGGCUGCGGGAAACUCAAUGUCAGUACUAGGAGAGGGCAGAAUGUCCUCCACAGUUAACAACGGUGCGGCAAGGGCAGGGAGACAGGGAGUUUCUGAGCUCCCUAAACCCCAGGAACUAUAAACCACAUUCUGCAUCAUCUCUCUUCCUGCUGGCAGAACAGAACUGGCCUCCGAGUCCAAACCCGCUGUUCUGCUGAUCUAGCUUUGUGCGGCAGAUGCAUUUGGGGCUUCUGCCGUUUCCCUGAGAAACAGUGUAUUUCCUGGGGAGUGAAUGCCAUCAUUGACUCUUGUCCUUUUCAGUGUUGGGGUCCACCCCACGAGGAACACCUGGACCCCACUUUGCUCAAGAGGAAAGAUCAUGCAGUGAUGUCAUAACCUUAGCGGGAAACAGUCGCCACAUAGGAUCUAAGCAGGGGCCAAGGGUGUCGAUGAAGCAUUCUGGAGAAGCCACACGGGUUUUUUUCCCCAGCCUCACCAUAUAAGGGACAGAGGCGAGCCCAGCCUUUCCGCCUCUGAGCACAUGCCUGUGCGUCUCCUGGCACCACUCACAGCACCGGUGAUGCUCGAAGCAGCAGCAUCAAGAUCUUCGCAACAUCAGGCCGGCCAAGGGCUCAGAGGCGAAUCUGGCUUUCAGCCUUUCUGCCACCAUUUGCUAGGGCCCAUCUCCUCUGGCUGUGGACCGGGAGGUGGGGAGGGGACAAGGGAGCAAGGUGGCUCUGCCCUCUGCCAGGGUAAGCACACGAAAACUGCACUUAAUCCAGGGGCCCAGGAGCUCAUUCAGUUUCAUUUCUUGAGUUUCAGGUUAUCUGAGUGGAAACCCUCCUUAGCUCCUUGCCUUGGGAGUGGAGGGAUCUUUCUGAGACAGCACAGCCUUGGCACUGAACUUGGAAAAGUCAGUGGUCAGGACUCUGAACUCAGAAUGACCCGACGGGUACCCAUGCCAGAACCCACGCAGUAAAACCUUUUCUUUUCUC